Molecule: ribosomal RNA, 497 nt
Filed under: uncultured bacterium
Lineage: Bacteria
Description: partial 16S ribosomal RNA
Rfam family: Bacterial small subunit ribosomal RNA
Source: RNAcentral
GAUGAACGCUGGCGGCGUGCCUAAUACAUGCAAGUCGAGCGAACAGACGAGGAGCUUGCUCCUCUGACGUUAGCGGCGGACGGGUGAGUAACACGUGGAUAACCUACCUAUAAGACUGGGAUAACUUCGGGAAACCGGAGCUAAUACCGGAUAAUAUAUUGAACCGCAUGGUUCAAUAGUGAAAGACGGUUUUGCUGUCACUUAUAGAUGGAUCCGCGCCGCAUUAGCUAGUUGGUAAGGUAACGGCUUACCAAGGCAACGAUGCGUAGCCGACCUGAGAGGGUGAUCGGCCACACUGGAACUGAGACACGGUCCAGACUCCUACGGGAGGCAGCAGUAGGGAAUCUUCCGCAACGGGCGAAAGCCUGACGGAGCAACGCCGCGUGAGUGAUGAAGGUCUUCGGAUCGUAAAACUCUGUUAUUAGGGAAGAACAAAUGUGUAAGUAACUAUGCACGUCUUGACGGUACCUAAUCAGAAAGCCACGGCUAACUACGUG